CCCCUUGUGGUGUAGUUGGAUAUCACAUUCGACUGUAAUUGAAAAUUGUUAUCGAAAGGUCACCGGCUCGAUUCCGGUCGAGGGGA
RNAcentral lists this transfer RNA (86 nucleotides) under Coniochaeta sp. 2T2.1. It matches the Rfam family "tRNA". From Rfam's summary of the family: Transfer RNA (tRNA) molecules are approximately 80 nucleotides in length. Their secondary structure includes four short double-helical elements and three loops (D, anti-codon, and T loops). Further hydrogen bonds mediate the characteristic L-shaped molecular structure. tRNAs have two regions of fundamental functional importance: the anti-codon, which is responsible for specific mRNA codon recognition, and the 3' end, to which the tRNAs corresponding amino acid is attached (by aminoacyl-tRNA synthetases). tRNAs cope with the degeneracy of the genetic code in two manners: having more than one tRNA (with a specific anti-codon) for a particular amino acid; and 'wobble' base-pairing, i.e. permitting non-standard base-pairing at the 3rd anti-codon position. The record is from Rfam by way of RNAcentral. Lineage: Eukaryota; Fungi; Ascomycota; Sordariomycetes; Coniochaetales; Coniochaetaceae.